This is a long non-coding RNA of Gasterosteus aculeatus aculeatus (three-spined stickleback), 347 nucleotides long. The record is from Ensembl. NCBI's taxonomy places the organism in Eukaryota, Metazoa, Chordata, Actinopteri, Perciformes, Gasterosteidae.
AUCUGCCUCUCUCUGUCUGCCUGCCUUAGCAUCACUGUGCUACCAUAUUGCCGGAUACCUCUAAAGUAUCAGAGGCCGUGAUUUAAAACGGCUCAGUGGCGACGUAGCGAGUCCGCUGAACGGGGAAGAAAGCGGGAGAACAUGACGCAGCCGAGAGAGGAGCCUCGUGGCCAUUGCUCCCCGACAAUAGCUGAGCAGCCAGCUGGCGUGCCAGGAGGCGUCUUGGUGGACUGUCGCUGGACCAAAACCGGAAAAGAGAAGUUGGUAGUUGGUCGCAUCAUCUGUCGGCGAUGCCAAAAGGAAGAGAAGAAAAGGGCUGAACGCUGGUGGUUACAGCUGAUUCCCGA